CUUUCGUGGAAUUCAGUGGCAACAGAGCUUCCACCGGCUUACGAUGGAGGCUCCAGCUAUACCUCAGAGAAAACAGUCUCCCUUCCCCCUUCCACAAAUCCAUGCUACCAAGAGACACUCAGUGCACAGCAAUGGGAACAGACAGUCCUUCUGAACCAAGACUCUCCAGAUCAUGCCAGAAUACUGAAGGGCCUUCUGGAGUAAAGGAGAAAAAAAUUAAUCAGGAACAAUUUCUUCCCUCUCUUUAAAACUUGCAGAUUUG
This 262-nucleotide long non-coding RNA is filed under the name Manacus vitellinus (golden-collared manakin). RNAcentral's name for it is "lncRNA (ENSMVIG00005008292.1)". The record is from RNAcentral. Lineage: Eukaryota; Metazoa; Chordata; Aves; Passeriformes; Pipridae.